AACGCAGCGAAGGGCGAUAAGUAAUGUGAAUUGCAGAAUUCAGUGAAUCAUCGAAUCUUUGAACGCACCUUGCGCUCUUUGGUAUUCCGAAGAGCAUGCCUGUUUGAGUGUCAUAGAAAAUAUCAACCUUGACUUGGGUUUAGUGCUCUUGUCUUGGCUUGGAUUUGGCUGUUUGCCGCUACGAAAGAGUCGGCUCAGACUUAAAAGUAUUAGCUGGAUCUGUCUUUGAGACUUGGUUUGACUUGGCGUAAUAAGUUAUUUCGCUGAGGACAAUCUUCGGAUUGGCCGAGUUUCUGGGACGUUUGUCCGCUUUCUAAUACAAGUUCUAGCUUGCUAGACAUGACUUUUUUAUUAUCUGGCCUCAAAUCAGGUAGGACUACCCGCUGAACUUAA
Molecule: ribosomal RNA, 393 nt
Filed under: uncultured fungus
Lineage: Eukaryota; Fungi
Description: eukaryotic LSU rRNA
Rfam family: 5.8S ribosomal RNA (bases 1-113)
Source: RNAcentral